UAAUCUGCCCACUGAUUUUAAUUGAAGGGCUGCAGUAUAUUGACUGUACAAAGGUAGCAUAAUCAUUAGUCAUUUAAUUGGUGACUUGUAUGAAGGAUUGGAUGAGAUAUAAUCUGUCUCUUAAUUAUAAAAUAGAAUUUAAUUUUUUAAUUAAAAAGUUAAAAUAUGUUAAAAAGACGAGAAGACCCUAUAGAGUUUUAUAAUUUAAGAUAAUUAAGAUUAUUUAUAAAAUAAAAAUUGAAAUUAUUUUAUUUAUUUUGUUGGGGUGACAGAAAAAUAUAAAAAACUUUUUAUAUAGAAAAACAUUGAUAAAUGAUUAGAUGAUCCAAUAUUAUUGAUUAUAAGAAAAAAUUACCUUAGGGAUAACAGCGUAAUUUUUUUUUUUAGUUCACAUAAAAAAAAGAGUUUGCGACCUCGAUGUUGGAUUAAGAUAAAAUUUAAAUGCAGAAG
Molecule: ribosomal RNA, 450 nt
Filed under: Sesamia jansei
Lineage: Eukaryota; Metazoa; Arthropoda; Insecta; Lepidoptera; Noctuidae
Description: partial 16S large subunit ribosomal RNA
Source: RNAcentral